RNAcentral lists this unclassified non-coding RNA (238 nucleotides) under uncultured fungus. Its description in RNAcentral is "partial contains 5.8S ribosomal RNA, internal transcribed spacer 2, and large subunit ribosomal RNA". The stretch from base 1 to 52 matches the Rfam family "5.8S ribosomal RNA", at positions 103 to 154 of the family's 154-position model. Lineage: Eukaryota; Fungi. The record is from RNAcentral.
AACGCACAUUGCGCCCUCUGGUAUUCCGGGGGGCAUGCCUGUUCGAGCGUCAUUACAACCCUCAAGCUCUGCUUGGUAUUGGGCUUCACCAUCUGGUGUGCCUUAAAAUCAGUGGCGGUGCCAACUUGGCUUCAAGUGUAGUAAUUCUUCUCACUUCGGAGUCUUUUGGUCACUUGCCAAUAACCCCUAAUUUUUAAAGGUUGACCUCGGAUCAGGUAGGGAUACCCGCUGAACUUAA